Molecule: ribosomal RNA, 437 nt
Filed under: uncultured Veillonellaceae bacterium
Lineage: Bacteria; Bacillati; Bacillota; Negativicutes; Veillonellales; Veillonellaceae
Description: bacterial SSU rRNA
Rfam family: Bacterial small subunit ribosomal RNA
Source: RNAcentral
UUUGUUUCGGUGAAUUCUUAGUGGCGAACGGGUGAGUAACAGGUGGGCAACCUGCCUCGGGGUUGGGGACAACAUUCCGAAAGGAGUGCUAAUGCCGAAGACGCUCCAUUACCGGCAUCGGUUUUGGAGGAAAGAUGGCCUCUAUUUAUAAGCUAUCACCAGGAGAUGGGCCUGCGUCUGAUUAGCUAGUUGGUGGGGUAACGGGUCACCAAUGCGAUGAUCGGUAUCCGGGCUGAGAGGAUGAAGGGCGAGUUUGGGACUGAGACACGGCCCAAACUACUACGGGAGGCAGCAGUGGGGAAUCUUCCGCAAUGGGCGAAAGCCUGACGGAGCAACGCCGCGUGAGUGAUGAAGGCCUUCGGGCUGUAAAACUCUGUUGUCAGGGACGAAGGUGCGCUUUUCGAACAGAUGAGCGUAUUGACGGUACCUGACGAGGA